GACGAACGCUGGCGGCGUGCCUAACACAUGCAAGUCGAACGGUGAAGCGCCUUCCUUUUUGGUGGGUGUGGAUGAGUGGCGAACGGGUUAGUAACACGUGAGUAACCUGCCCCCUCCUUCUGGAUAACCGCAUGAAAGUGUGGCUAACACGGGAUAUUCUGGGCCGCUCGCUUGAUGGGUCUGGGACAGUCAUUCUUUCGCUUGUGGAUGGGUCCGCGGCGUAUUAGCUGGUUGGUGGGGUGAUGGCGUACCAAGGCGGCGAUGAGUAGCCGGCCUGAGAGGGGGGUCGGCGACCCCACAGGGACUGCGACGCGGAGAAGACUACGGCAGGCAGCAGCAGUGGAGAAUAUUGAACGAGGGGCGGCCGGACGGUGCAGCGACGCGGCGGGGAGGAUGGUGGCCGUCGGGUUGUGAACCUCUUUCGGGGGUGAAGAAGGGCUGCCGUGUUUGUGGGUGGGUUGACGGUAGCUAGUUAGGAAGCGACGGCUAACUACGUG
RNAcentral lists this ribosomal RNA (497 nucleotides) under uncultured bacterium. Its description in RNAcentral is "partial 16S ribosomal RNA". It matches the Rfam family "Bacterial small subunit ribosomal RNA", at positions 28 to 507 of the family's 1533-position model. The record is from RNAcentral.